Molecule: long non-coding RNA, 3377 nt
Organism: Chelonia mydas (Green sea turtle)
Lineage: Eukaryota; Metazoa; Chordata; Testudines; Cheloniidae
Exons: 2
Source: RefSeq, a predicted model, not a curated record
UUUUGUAUGUUUAUGUCUGAUUUUGUUAGCAAAUAGUUUUUAAAUAAGAUGAAACUUGUGGGUAUGCAAGACAAGUCUGACUCCUGAAAGAGGUACAGUCGUCUGGAAAGGUUGAGAGCCACUGGACCAGAGAACAAAUUUUUAAUUCUCACAGUCCAUUCCCUGAGGUGCUCUUGGGGCAGGACAGCCCCUUACUCAUGGCAAAAUGUAAUGUCACAAUCUAGCACAAAAUGUCAAACUAAAGUGAAUGGGUCCGCAUAUUCAUUCAUGGUGGAUUUUUUUCUUCUUCUUUUUGAACACUGGGCCACACUCAGAAUCCCUAAAACCACACACCGAAGAAAGGGCUUUUUCUUUUCCAAACUCAAGUUCAUGGGGGGAAAAAGUGAGAAAAAACAAAUAGCACUGAAGCAAACAAUAUGUUCUUUAGUAUUUCUCUGCUUUUCCUCCAAAGUCUCUCGUGAGUUUCCUGUUUCCUCAAGCUCUUCCUAUUGAGCUUCCAGACACGACUCAUGAUGAACAAGAGUAAAAACCCAUGAAAAUGUUGCCUCUAAGAGAAUUUUCUUCUUUGAUGCAAUUUACCUCACCAACUGUGACAAGAUUUUGCUUUUGCUCAGCAUAGAGUAGUUUGAAACCUGAUUUGCAAAGUGUCAAUCUUCCCAAAAAAGAGUGAUUUUGCCCUGCCCCUCAAUUUUGAGAAAGCAAAAGCCACCGUUCUGAUAGACUGUAUCAUUUGUGCACUAUGCUACAGCUCAUGUUAAAGUUACAUGGAUGGCACUUUCCCUCCCCAUUUCUCUACCCACCACCAUAGAAACUUGACAUCUCCUUUAUCAAAUUCAAUGUAUCAACUGAACGGCAAUGAUAGAGCCACCAUACAUCAUUUAUAUAGUGCUGUAAUGAGGUCUAGCACUGUAAUUUGCUAAAAUGUGCCUGAAGAGGGCAGUGUCCUUAAAACAGAUUUAUUAUAUGGAAAAUAAUCUGACUCACAAUAUUCAAAACUCCUCUUAAAAUACCUGUUAACAGCCAAUGACUGUCAAAAUACAGUUUGUGUAAAAGGCACACAAAAAUCAAGCCAAACAGCAAAUGAAACCAAAUAUUUAUUGAAACCAGAAAAACAAAACAUUGAUUUUCACAUACUCUUAAAAUUAUUAAAACAAACACAGCCACACAAACAACACCCCUGUUCCCAUAUUUUAGGUUAAGAAAAUAUGUAAAGGUGCCCUUUAAGGGUAUUUGGAAAAAAGAUAAGUAUAUUAUUUGUGUACAUAACAAUACACGUCACAUACUAAACACCCUUCUUGUCAUUCCAAAAUAGGAAUAAUACAUUUUCAUUUGAAAUGUAAUCUACAUAUGUGCAUUAAACACUCACAGAUUCAUCCUUCGUGCAUUAAUCUGUAACCUGUCUUUUAGUUACAUCUCAGAAUUGCCCUUAAUUGUUACAGCUUAAGAAAUUAAGAUAACUUUCACAACACAGCAAGCUCAGUCCAUUGCUUUAAGAAUCUUCCCCAAAGGCCACUGAAGACUCUCCUUCACUUCAGUGGUGUUUUGAUUGGGGCCUUAAAGCAAAUGGUCUAUUGCAGCUGACAGAAGGAAAACAGAAAUAAAUUCAUUAGUAUUCGGCACAGUUAUACUGGCACGGUACAUGGAACUACAGCUUGCAGUAUCCUGGAAUUCAACUUGUAGUGUUGCAGAUAUCAAAUUAAAAAGCAGCUUUUAAUAGAGUGGCCCAUUGUAGAAAGCGAGUCUUAGAAAAAGUUCCUCCUCCAAUUGCUCAACUUAUUUUUAAAAAGAAAAAUCUCAAGGCAAGUUGGAAUAACAGUGGCACAGGAUGACCUGGAAAAUGUGUGUUAUAUUUAAAACAGACACCAUGAUUCUGAUUCUCCACUACCUAGCACCUUGUGUAGUUAUUUACACCUGUGCAACAUGGGUGCAAAAUGCUACUAUUCUGAUUUGAAACCAUGUGGUGUCCACAUUCCCCAGGUGUAAAUAACUACACAGGGUACAUGGCAGUGGAGAAACAGGUCCAAUGUAUACAGAAUUCUAUAAAGCCUGCAUUAUGCUACCAAAAAAAUUUUUGUAAUAAUUAUUUCACUGCUUAGUAUCAAAGAUAAAAUUACUUACCCAUAAAUUAUGCUUUCUGAAGACAGUACCCUCUGCUCUCUAUAUGUAGCAUUCAAAGCAUGUAUUGGAGUGCUCUGAAAGCUUAACUUUGUUCUCUUUGCAUUCCCUCACAACCAUCUCCCCCUUCCCAGUUGUCACCAUUUGGUGAUGUGUGUAUAGUUUAGGUGACUAACUAGACUGUCACAAACCCCAAUUGUCAGCUCUUUUGGCUGAAACCUACCCAUAACUUAUUUCUAUGUCUCCAAACAAACAAAAAACUGUAUGACAGGAACUUAAGAAAAGAUGUAGGUGGAUGAGAGUAGAUUUAUGGACGACACCAAUUUGGAGAACAAGUAUAGAUGAGGAACAAUCACUUCUCCAAAGCUAUGUGUUGCUGUAUCCCUUCUUCAAUGAGGAAGAAGGUGGAAAGGAAAGGAAAGGAAAGGAAAGGAAAGAGAAAUGACAAAGAUAAAUAUCAGGGGAUGCUCAAAAGGAGAGGGAAAAUUAUAUAGCUAAUUUUGGAAAGCGAUCCUGUGAUACUGUCAUACUAAACGCUGACACUUUGAUACAGUUGGACACUUUGGUACAAGUCUUUACUGCCUAUAUACUGCCAGAAUGUAACGGGUUCUAUACAGAUACUUAAGAGACCUCAUGUAGUUGGACCAGCAUGAGGCUGCCGUGUUCCUAGUUUUAUAAGGUAGAAUUUUCACUUGUGGCCUAACUCUGCUUCCACGGAAGUGGGAGUUUUACCAAUGUCUUCAAGGGGUACAGAGUUAGGCCAGCACUGAUGCGGAGUGCUUUUUGAAAGCCACACAUGUAGUAAUUACAUAAAAACCUCUCUCAACAGCACUAGACAUAUAAAAAUAAUGACUGUAAUUCUGAUGCACCUCCUCAUGGUUUUCUUUCCACACAAACAAGCCUUUUAAAUGAAUUGAAAUGAAUGCUAGCCAGCUUCAAGGUCUUGUGAAAAACAAUGGAUCAAUUUGCGUACAAAUUUUCAAGCAAGGGCCUAAAAAAUGAUGGCAGUGUGGAGGUGAGAAAAAUAGUGAAAACAUGAUUAACAGAGCAAGAGCCUCAAUAUCACCUUCUAAAGACAUUUGGAAUUACUCAACAUCAUCAUGUUCUUACAAAAUGUAGUAUGAUGUGGCCUCACUAGAGCUUAGGCCUGACUAAUCCAACAAGCUUAAUUUGAGACCAUCGGGGAUAAAAAAAAUUAUGGCACUCAUUAGAACCAAGCAGCUAAAAAAAAAAAAAAAAAAAAAAAAAAAAAGAGAGAGAGA